UGGGGAAUAUUGGACAAUGGGCGCAAGCCUGAUCCAGCCAUGCCGCGUGAGUGAUGAAGGCCCUAGGGUUGUAAAGCUCUUUCACCGGUGAAGAUAAUGACGGUAACCGGAGAAGAAGCCCCGGCUAACUUCGUGCCAGCAGCCGCGGUAAUACGAAGGGGGCUAGCGUUGUUCGGAUUACUGGGCGUAAAGCGCACGUAGGCGGACUUUUAAGUCAGGGGUGAAAUCCCGGGGCUCAACCCCGGAACUGCCUUUGAUACUGGAAGUCUUGAGUAUGGUAGAGGUGAGUGGAAUUCCGAGUGUAGAGGUGAAAUUCGUAGAUAUUCGGAGGAACACCAGUGGCGAAGGCGGCUCACUGGACCAUUACUGACGCUGAGGUGCGAAAGCGUGGGGAGCAAACAGG
This 403-nucleotide ribosomal RNA is filed under the name Actinomycetes bacterium. Its description in RNAcentral is "Actinobacteria bacterium partial 16S ribosomal RNA". It matches the Rfam family "Bacterial small subunit ribosomal RNA", at positions 355 to 776 of the family's 1533-position model. The record is from RNAcentral. Lineage: Bacteria; Bacillati; Actinomycetota; Actinomycetes. RNAcentral also lists the same sequence under 1 other name.